GUGCUUGCUUCAGCAGCACAGCACAGCAGCAUGUAUACCAAAAUUGGAACAAUUGAGAUCAACAUGGCUCCUGAGCAAGGUUGACAUGCAUGUUCGUGAAGCCUUUCAUGUUUAA
Molecule: small nuclear RNA, 115 nt
Organism: Ictidomys tridecemlineatus (thirteen-lined ground squirrel)
Lineage: Eukaryota; Metazoa; Chordata; Mammalia; Rodentia; Sciuridae
Source: Ensembl